Molecule: ribosomal RNA, 445 nt
Filed under: uncultured bacterium
Lineage: Bacteria
Description: partial 16S ribosomal RNA
Rfam family: Bacterial small subunit ribosomal RNA
Source: RNAcentral
GUGAGGAAUAUUGCGCAAUGGAGGCAACUCUGACGCAGCCAUGCCGCGUGCAGGAAGAAGGCGCUACGCGUUGUAAACUGCUUUUAACCGGGAAGAAACCCCAGGACGUGUCCUGGGUUGACGGUACCGGAGGAAUAAGCACCGGCUAACUUCGUGCCAGCAGCCGCGGUAAUACGAAGGGUGCAAGCGUUAUCCGGAUUCAUUGGGUUUAAAGAGUGCGUAGGCGGAGCGUUAAGUCAGUGGUGAAAUCCUGCAGCUUAACUGUAGACUUGCCAUUGAUACUGGCGCUCUUGAGUGCGCUUGAAGUGGGCGGAAUGUGCCGUGUAGCGGUGAAAUGCUUAGAUAUGGCACAGAACACCAAUUGCGAAGGCAGCUCACUAAGGCGAUACUGACGCUGAGGCACGAAAGCGUGGGGAUCGAACAGGAUUAGAAACCCCAGUAGUCC